RNAcentral lists this ribosomal RNA (499 nucleotides) under uncultured bacterium. RNAcentral's name for it is "partial 16S ribosomal RNA". It matches the Rfam family "Bacterial small subunit ribosomal RNA", at positions 28 to 507 of the family's 1533-position model. The record is from RNAcentral.
GACGAACGCUGGCGGCGUGCCUAAUACAUGCAAGUCGAGCGAAGUUUUUCUGGUGCUUGCACUAGAAAAACUUAGCGGCGAACGGGUGAGUAACACGUAAAGAACCUGCCUCAUAGACUGGGACAACUAUUGGAAACGAUAGCUAAUACCGGAUAACAGUAUUUCUCGCAUGAGAGAUAUUUAAAAGUUGGUUAUGCUUACACUAUGAGAUGGCUUUGCGGUGCAUUAGCUAGUUGGUGGGGUAAAGGCCCACCAAGGCGACGAUGCAUAGCCGACCUGAGAGGGUGAUCGGCCACACUGGGACUGAGACACGGCCCAGACUCCUACGGGAGGCAGCAGUAGGGAAUCUUCCGCAAUGGGCGAAAGCCUGACGGAGCAACGCCGCGUGAGUGAAGAAGGAUUUCGGUUCGUAAAGCUCUGUUGUUAGGGAAGAAUGGAUAUGUAGUAACUAUACAUGUAAGAGACGGUACCUAACCAGAAAGCCACGGCUAACUACGUG